AACGAACGCUGGCGGCAUGCCUAACACAUGCAAGUCGAACGAGACCUUCGGGCCUAGUGGCGCACGGGUGCGUAACGCGUGGGAAUCUGCCCUUCGGUUGGGAAUAACUGAGAGAAAUUUCAGCUAAUACCUUAUAAUGUCUUCGGACCAAAGAUUUAUCGCCGGGGGAUGAGCCCGCGUAGGAUUAGGUAGUUGGUGGGGUAAUGGCCUACCAAGCCGACGAUCCUUAGCUGGUCUGAGAGGAUGAUCAGCCACACUGGGACUGAGACACGGCCCAGACUCCUACGGGAGGCAGCAGUGGGGAAUAUUGGACAAUGGGCGAAAGCCUGAUCCAGCAAUGCCGCGUGAGUGAUGAAGGCCUUAGGGUUGUAAAGCUCUUUUACCCGGGAUGAUAAUGACAGUACCGGGAGAAUAAGCUCCGGCUAACUCCGUGCCAGCCGCCGCCGUAA
RNAcentral lists this ribosomal RNA (449 nucleotides) under uncultured bacterium. RNAcentral describes it as "partial 16S ribosomal RNA". It matches the Rfam family "Bacterial small subunit ribosomal RNA", at positions 29 to 523 of the family's 1533-position model. The record is from RNAcentral.